CGUAGGUGGCGAGCGUUGUCCGGAUUUAUUGGGUUUAAAGGGUGCGUAGGCGGUCUUAUAAGUCAGUGCUGAAAUAUCCCGGCUUAACCGGGAGGGUGGCAUCGAUACUGUAGGACUUGAGUAAAGUUGAGGUUGGCGGAAUUGACGGUGUAGCGGUGAAAUGCUUAGAUAUCGUCAAGAACACCGAUAGUGUAGACAGCUAACUAAGCUUUAACUGACGCUGAGACACGAAAGUGUGGGGAUCAAACAGGAUUAGAUACCCUGGUAGUCCACACUGUAAACGUUGAAGACUCGCUGUUGGCGAUACACAGUCAGCGGCUGAGAGAAAUCGUUAAGUCUUCCACCUGGGGAGUACGCCGGCAACGGUG
RNAcentral lists this ribosomal RNA (368 nucleotides) under uncultured organism. RNAcentral describes it as "bacterial SSU rRNA". It matches the Rfam family "Bacterial small subunit ribosomal RNA", at positions 526 to 896 of the family's 1533-position model. The record is from RNAcentral.